CAGCCGCCGCGGUAAUACGUAGGUGGCAAGCGUUGUCCGGAAUUAUUGGGCGUAAAGGGCUCGCAGGCGGUUUCUCAAGUCUGAGGUGAAAGCCCCCGGCUCAACCGGGGAGGGUCAUUGGAAACUGGGAAACUUGAGUGCAGAAGAGGAGAGUGGAAUUCCACGUGUAGCGGUGAAAUGCGUAGAGAUGUGGAGGAACACCAGUGGCGAAGGCGACUCUCUGGUCUGUAACUGACGCUGAGGAGCGAAAGCGUGGGGAGCGAACAGGAUUAGAUACCCGUGUAGUCCCUGUCUCUUAUAC
This 301-nucleotide ribosomal RNA is filed under the name uncultured bacterium. Its description in RNAcentral is "partial 16S ribosomal RNA". It matches the Rfam family "Bacterial small subunit ribosomal RNA", at positions 509 to 807 of the family's 1533-position model. The record is from RNAcentral.